Molecule: ribosomal RNA, 459 nt
Filed under: uncultured bacterium
Lineage: Bacteria
Description: partial 16S ribosomal RNA
Rfam family: Bacterial small subunit ribosomal RNA
Source: RNAcentral
CCUACGGGUGGCAGCAGUGAGGAAUAUUGGUCAAUGGGCGAGAGCCUGAACCAGCCAAGUCGCGUGAGGGAGUACUGCCCUAUGGGUUGUAAACCUCUUUUGUCGGGGAGCAAAAGCCGGACGUGUCCGGCUGUGAGAGUACCCGAAGAAAAAGCAUCGGCUAACUCCGUGCCAGCAGCCGCGGUAAUACGGAGGAUGCGAGCGUUAUCCGGAUUUAUUGGGUUUAAAGGGUGCGCAGGCGGAUUUUUAAGUCAGUUGUGAAAGUUUGCGGCUCAACCGUAAAAUUGCAGUUGAAACUGGCAGUCGUGAGUACAGUAGAGGUGGGCGGAAUUCGUGGUGUAGCGGUGAAAUGCUUAGAUAUCACGAAGAACUCCGAUUGCGAAGGCAGCUCACUGGACUGCAACUGACACUGAGGCUCGAAAGUGUGGGUAUCAAACAGGAUUAGAUACCCGGGUAGUC